This 481-nucleotide ribosomal RNA is filed under the name uncultured bacterium. Its description in RNAcentral is "partial 16S ribosomal RNA". It matches the Rfam family "Bacterial small subunit ribosomal RNA", at positions 28 to 507 of the family's 1533-position model. The record is from RNAcentral.
GAUGAACGCUGGCGGCGUGCUUAACACAUGCAAGUCGAACGAAGCACUUUAUUUGAUUUCCUUCGGGACUGAUUAUUUUGUGACUGAGUGGCGGACGGGUGAGUAACGCGUGGGUAACCUGCCUUGUACAGGGGGAUAACAGUUGGAAACGGCUGCUAAUACCGCAUAAGCGCACAGCAUCGCAUGAUGCAGUGUGAAAAGCUCCGGUGGUAUAAGAUGGACCCGCGUUGGAUUAGCUAGUUGGUGAGGUAACGGCCCACCAAGGCGACGAUCCAUAGCCGACCUGAGAGGGUGACCGGCCACAUUGGGACUGAGACACGGCCCAAACUCCUACGGGAGGCAGCAGUGGGGAAUAUUGCACAAUGGGCGAAAGCCUGAUGCAGCGACGCCGCGUGAGCGAAGAAGUAUUUCGGGAUGUAAAGCUCUAUCAGCAGGGAAGAUAAUGACGGUACCUGACUAAGAAGCACCGGCUAAAUACGUG